CUGAGCUCUCCUCCUAUCAGUGCCGAGUGUGGUCUUGCACACUGGACCUUACCAGGUGUCAGGGGCAGAAAGCGUGAUGGGAGUGAACAGCCUAAAAUAACAGAAAGAUUCCACCAAGUGACUCCUCAAGUUAUUGGCCUCUGGUUAAGAGAUACUUGAACCGUUGACGUGAUAAAUUUGGCUUGGUCAUGGAGAGGAUUUCAAGAAUCUGCUUCAAGUUGAAACUUUUAAACCACAGCUCAAAACAAUGACUACUUUAGAAAACUCACCAAGGUCAAGAGAAGCAUCAGUGCGGCCUAAGAGGAGGAACUGAAA
Molecule: long non-coding RNA, 315 nt
Organism: Suricata suricatta (meerkat)
Lineage: Eukaryota; Metazoa; Chordata; Mammalia; Carnivora; Herpestidae
Exons: 3
Source: RefSeq, a predicted model, not a curated record